This 301-nucleotide ribosomal RNA is filed under the name uncultured bacterium. RNAcentral describes it as "partial 16S ribosomal RNA". It matches the Rfam family "Bacterial small subunit ribosomal RNA", at positions 509 to 809 of the family's 1533-position model. The record is from RNAcentral.
CAGUAGCCACGGUAAUGCGAGGGGGGCAAGCGUUGUUCGGAAUUAUUGGGCGUAAAGGGUGCGUAGGCGGCUUGACAAGUCUUGUGUGAAAUCUAUGGGCUCAACCCAUAGUCUGCACGGGAAACUAUCGGGCUUGAGAAUGGGAGAGGUGAGUGGAAUUUCCGGUGUAGCGGUGAAAUGCGUAGAUAUCGGAAGGAACACCUGUGGCGAAAGCGGCUCACUGGACCAUUUCUGACGCUGAUGCACGAAAGCUAGGGGAGCAAACAGGAUUAGAUACCCCCGUAGUCCCUGUCUCUUAUAA